This 576-nucleotide small RNA is filed under the name Pan troglodytes (chimpanzee). Its description in RNAcentral is "retained intron". The record is from RNAcentral. Lineage: Eukaryota; Metazoa; Chordata; Mammalia; Primates; Hominidae.
AUUAUUGUCCGAGUGGCCGGAACGGGAGCCAACAUGGCAGCGGGUUUCGGGCGAUGCUGCCGGGUCCUGAGAAGUAUUUCUCGUUUUCAAUGGAGAUCACAGCAUACAAAAGCCAAUCGACAACGUGAACCAGGAUUAGGAUUUAGUUUUGAGUUCACCGAACAGCAGAAAGAAUUUCAAGCUACUGCUCGUAAAUUUGCCAGAGAGGAAAUCAUCCCAGUGGCUGCAGAAUAUGAUAAAACUGGUGAAUAUCCAGUCCCCCUAAUUAGAAGAGCCUGGGAACUUGGUUUAAUGAACACACACAUUCCAGAGAACUGUGGUAAGCUUUCUUUAUAUUUUUAAUACUGGAAUGCAUAUGAGUAAGAAAAAUUGUGGAACUCUACUCAGUCAUUUUUUUCAAAUAUUUCUUGCCAUUAAAUGACUUUCUACCAUUGUCUUCCUGCUCAGACUACAGUGUUUGCCCACUUUUGGAAGCUUGCACUCUAUACUUAGAUGCAUUUUUCCUUCUAACUGGUUCCAACCUUAACUUGCACCUAAACCUUGGUAACUUCCAUUUCUAGAGUUGGUCAAUUUGUU